RNAcentral lists this ribosomal RNA (361 nucleotides) under uncultured bacterium. Its description in RNAcentral is "partial 16S ribosomal RNA". It matches the Rfam family "Bacterial small subunit ribosomal RNA", at positions 338 to 696 of the family's 1533-position model. The record is from RNAcentral.
CCUACGGGAGGCAGCAGUGAGGAAUAUUGGUCAAUGGACGGAAGUCUGAACCAGCCACGCCGCGUGCAGGAAGACGGCUCUAUGAGUGGUAAACUGCUUUUAUACGAGGGUAAACCUGGAUACGUGUAUUCAGCUGAGAGUACUGUACGAAUAAGGAUCGGCUAACUCCGUGCCAGCAGCCGCGGUAAUACGGAGGAUCCAAGCGUUAUCCGGAUUUAUUGGGUUUAAAGGGUGCGGAGGCGGGUUGGUAAGUGAGAGGUGAAAAGUCCGGGCUUAACCCGGGGCCUGCCUUUGAAACUGUGUGUCUAGAGUGGUGGAGAGGUAAGCGGAAUGCAGGGUGUAGCGGUGAAAUGCUUAGAGA